ACGUACACUCCUAGGGAGGCAGCAGUGGGGAAUAUUGCACAAUGGGCGCAAGCCUGAUGCAGCCAUGCCGCGUGUAUGAAGAAGGCCUUCGGGUUGUAAAGUACUUUCAGCGGGGAGGAAGGCGAUAAGGUUAAUAACCUUGUCGAUUGACGUUACCCGCAGAAGAAGCACCGGCUAACUCCGUGCCAGCAGCCGCGGUAAUACGGAGGGUGCAAGCGUUAAUCGGAAUUAUUGGGCGUAAAGCGCACGCAGGCGGUCUGUCAAGUCGGAUGUGAAAUCCCCGGGCUCAACCUGGGAACUGCAUUCGAAACUGGCAGGCUAGAGUCUUGUAGAGGGGGGUAGAAUUCCAGGUGUAGCGGUGAAAUGCGUAGAGAUCUGGAGGAAUACCGGUGGCGAAGGCGGCCCCCUGGACAAAGACUGACGCUCAGGUGCGAAAGCGUGGGGAGCAAACAGGAUUAGAUACCCUUGUAGUCCCAUGA
RNAcentral lists this ribosomal RNA (479 nucleotides) under uncultured organism. RNAcentral describes it as "partial 16S ribosomal RNA". It matches the Rfam family "Bacterial small subunit ribosomal RNA", at positions 329 to 800 of the family's 1533-position model. The record is from RNAcentral.